CUAUAAAUCUCCCUUCAGAUCUUGCUUCUUGUGUCCACCUUCGAAAUCUUUUCUUGUAGUGCUAGAGAUCUUUACUCCAAUAACUCACUCACUAUAGAUCGCAAUAUCAUGUCAGGUCGAUUUCGGGUCUUCACGAGUCCUGUGUCGGGUCCAAGUGGUCGCCGGUAAGGGUGGAGACUCGUUGUUGCUCUGAUAUGUCCAAGUUCUCCUUCAUGCUCCCUGUCUCUAUUUAUCUUCCUUGUCUGCUGUUCUGUCUGUGUCAUUCAUGUUCAAGUUGCUGCUGGGUGUGAGAAAUCACAAGGUGUCGAAGCUAGUGGUGAUGUCAUGAGCUUGGUCUGGUGCUGUUGAAGUGAUUUUCUUUCUCCUCUUGCGCUUGGUGCUCAUCUUUCCCUCUCCCCUGUACAGCCAUAAACUUUGACUCCUCCUCCCCUUUUCUCCAUCAUUCACGCUUCAAGGGUGUGUGGAAGAAGAGAAUUCUGAUAGUAAUUGAAGGAAGAAAGUCUUUGAAAACUGAAAGUCUGACAUGUUUAAUAUCUGUGAUUGAUUUCAUGGCUGCAAGCUGCAUUUGAUGAAGAUGAAUGCAUUGACGUUCUUGAAGAAAAUUACUCAAAAUUUGAGUUUUCAAGAGCUGAUGGUGGAAAAGAAUCAAGAAGAAUGGAUUUGAAGAAUGUCUUGUAUAAAGUUGGGUCAUCAAAAGCAAAAAAUUUAACAGUAAAACAUCAGUUUAUGUUAAUAGUAAGAUAAAAUUGCACUUUUUCUACAAGUUUUAG
Molecule: long non-coding RNA, 770 nt
Organism: Prosopis cineraria
Lineage: Eukaryota; Viridiplantae; Streptophyta; Magnoliopsida; Fabales; Fabaceae
Exons: 5
Source: RefSeq, a predicted model, not a curated record